GCAGAAUUUAGAAACACAACACUUCCUAAACAGAUAUUUUGAGGCUGUGAGGUUGAACGUUUGAGAGUAUAUCAGUGUGUUUGUUUGUGGUCUUUCUGUUUCUAGGUGGAAGCUGAAUUAGUGAGGAUGACUCCUGCUCCUGUCAUCUCUAAGCUCCUCACACAUCUUUACCUGCACAUGAGGAAAAUCACUCCUGUAGAAUGCAGGUAUGUUUGUCAUUAUUAUAAAAAGAUGUUGCCUGGUGACCUGUCAGAAACCCAUCAUACAGAGUCAGCCAAAAUAAUGUUUACACACAUCAGGAAAAGAAAAACUUGCAUAAAUAUUUCAAUACCAAAUUUAUUCAGACAUCACGAGAUUAAUAAAAGUUAUCUUUGGCCUCUACAAUUACAAGAGGUGCUCAAAGUGGUGGCCACUGGCUUCCAGACAUUUCUGUUGUGUUGUAGACGUCACUUGUUGAUGCUCCAUUCAUGAGGGUAGCGCCAUCUGUUGGGAAAACAUCGUACAACAGGACACAGAGUUAUCGUGAUUUGAUCAAACUUAGAAAGAGGAAUCUAUAUGUAUAGAAGUACUUAUACAAAUGAAAUAUUUAUAAAAGUUUUUCUUUUCCUGAUGUGUGUACAUUAUUUUGGCUGACUCUGAACUUAAUGAGAACAAAACUGUCAUUUAAUUGUUGCUUUGAAAGCUUCUUUAGUGAAAACCAGCUGGUGUUCUGCUUUGAAACAAACUGCUGUUGAGGUCUGUGUUUUUAGGUUUAACCCCACAGUUUCUGAAUGAACUGAUUGUUUUUUUUCCUGAUCAAUGUGGACGUUAUAAUUGAUGGUAACAUUUACUGAUCAUAUAAUCAGCAUGACAAUAUAACAGUAUAACAUUCUGACCACCUGACUAAUACUGUGUUGGUCCCUUUAUGCUGCUAAAACUCCUCUGACCCAGUGGUUCAUCAGAACCUCUGGGGAUGUCCUGUGGAUUCUGUGGAUCCUGUGGGUUGCAGGGUGGGUCCUACCUAGACCAGGCUGAUCCUGGACCAUCCCACAGAUGCUCAAUCAGAUCUGGAUGUGGGGAGUGUGGAACCCAGAUGUUCAGAGGGAGAUGAUGCCACAUCUGGUCCAGCUGAUGGAAGGUCUUGAAGUUCUCUGACUGGCCUCGACUGAAGAUGGUCGUCUCACUGGAUUUAAGGUUCAGAUGCUCAGUAACAAACUCCACCAAUGAGCCAACAGGGAAGCUUUAGGUUUAUUAAAUGUUGCUAUGAAGGUUUCGCUGUUUUUCUUUGUGAAUGCAAUGUGCUCCAACUGAAACUUGAAUUAGAACUUAGAAGUAAAUCCUUCCAUCUGAAAGGAUUUAGUUGCAUUAAUAACCUCAUAACAUUCUAAUUUUUAUUCCAGUCUUGGUUGGAAAUAGAAUCUCUGUAUUGAUUCAGGUAAAAACUGAACUUCACAGCAUGUUGGAGCAAAACAACCAGAUGAAAACUGUGAUGGUGUUGGAUUGUCAGACCGUAAUGUUGCAGCUCAAAGCAGCUUUUCUAGCUCAGUUCAUUCUGACAUUCAGCUAUGAAUCAACACAGCAGAUGGUGAUCCAUGCUGUGGAAGUCUCACAUCUCCUGAUUUAAUGGAGCUGCUUUGCACUUUUUACACUGUUUAUUCACCAACACUUUAUUUAAUAAAAGUCCCAUCUAGUUUUUAUGAGGAAUGUGAUGUUUUAAUUUCUCUGUGAAUAACUGCAGUCUAAUGCAACAGCUGGAGUUGUAACAUCUGUCCUGAUAUUGAUCAUGAAGUAUUGAUCAGAAUACUUAUGGUCAGCAGUCAUCCCUGAAGUUUUACAUUAAAAUCUUUACUUGUGUUGUGAACUUUGGUAAGAAGCAGAAACGUUAGCGUUGCCAUGGAUACAUGAGUGUUAAAUUCUGUCCAUGUUUCCAUUUUGGGAAAUUCAGUCCAGUUCCAGAAUGUGGAGGAAUUUAGUCUCACAAUCACAGACAACAAAUAUUAUCUGAAAGUGGGUUAUUGUUGUUUAUCAGCACAAUACAAAAAGAUUAAUGUUAGAAAUAUUCCAGUUAAGACUCUAGAAUAUCAUGAUUUAUGUAAAUUUACCUCAAUAAUAUGAAUGUUCAGGUUAAGAUUGUACAGUGAUAUUUAUUAUGUAAGUUUAGCUGAUUAAAGUUUAUGACUCUGCACUAAAAUAUUAUUUAAAUUGACACAUUAUUAUAAUAUUUAGGGUCAGACCCUACAGUAUUGAGAUUAAGAAAUCAAAUAUUCUAUAAAAUGUAAAUACACUGAACUCAUUUGGAUAUAUUUAAGUGAGACUCUACAAUAUUAUUUGACACAAAUCUAUCUAAAUCAAAAUUUUAAUAAUUUUAUCCAAACAUUUACUGGACUGAUUUAAAUAUUAAAAUCACUCCUUUCUAAUCCUCUGCUGUACGUUCAAACCUGAGGCCUUAAAUAGAAACACACAAGUAUCUGAUUGAAGGAACUUCUGCAGAGUCCUGGUUCCAGAACAUGAUGAUAGAAUUAUAGACAAACUUUAACAAAAGCUGCCUGAGAGUUUACAGGUUUUUAUGUUGAUUUCUUCAGUAAUUUAAUGAGCGUUAUCAGCAAAAAUCAAGUGUUCAUUUGAUGAACUUCAUUUCCUAAAACAUCCAGAAUUGGAGCUCAUAUCUUUGGCAGCUGUAAAGUUUCUGCUCCUUCAAAGUUCACAACACAAUGAAUGAAUUCCUAAAACACUCUCAAUGCUGGAGAGCGUUUGUGAUGCUGAAGCAGUGAUCAGUUUUUCUGUUUCUUCUCUGGAGAUGCACAAUGAGGGACGUCUGCAGAGACUGAGAAAGAGUCUCACCACAUCCUGACAUGAGGAAAAAGACUUUAUUGAAGACUACAAUGAGAAAAACUAUCAGACAGCAGACGGCUGCAUUCAAGGCUACAGGAGGAGCCCUACGAGGACGAGCCGGUCCACCUGAUGGUGGCCAGUCGCUGCGGUUCAAAGCCAACACCGACUACGUGGACUUCUACUGGACCACAUGGAGGCCUUCAAACCGGACCAACAAGUUCAGCGACUCCCCGACUCGUGGGUCUGAGGACGCCGAGCCUCGGUCCAGCCGGCCUCCUGUCUGUGGGUGUUUGAGUGCUGAGAGGUUUGUGGAUGCAUGUGAACGUUCUGUGUUGAAACAGCAGCUUUGGACUCAGUAACGCCGGGAAAAACCAAGAGCUCCUUUAUUUGUGACUUCCACUAAAAAACUGAUGAAAAUAAGUUUGCCAGGGUUCUGACUGAUAACAGAUUAUUAAAUAAUGAAAAUAAUCGUUUAAAUAUUCCUUUAAACAAUCCUUUUAGGUCUACAUUUCCUUUACACUGACUUCUUGGUAUAUGUACAAGUAUUUUGGGUGGAAUAUACCAUUAAGCCCAAUGUUCAAGGGUUCUUCUGGGAAUAUACCAUUAAACCAACCUUUUAGGUAAAUGUUCCAGGAUGUUGGGUAGAAUAUACCAUCAGAUCAACCUUUUAGGUCUACAUUGGAAGAUUUUAGAGUAGAAUAUUACUCCAAACCAUCCUUUAGGUCUACAUUUAAGGUGGAAUACUCCUUUACACCAAGAUUUUUUGGUCUACAUUGAAGGAUUUUAGGUGGAAUAUUCCUUUGAACGAACUUUUUAAGUUUAUGUUCAAGGAUGUUGGGUGGAAUAUACCAUCAGACCAACCUCCAAGGUCUACAGUAGUGAAUUUUAGGUGGAAUAUACCAUUAAACUCACCUUUUAGGUCUACAUUGGAGGAUUUUAGGUGGAAUUUUCUUCCAAACCGUCUUUUAGUCUACAUUUAAGGAUGUUUAGGAUGGUAUAUUCUUCCGAACCAACUUCUCAGGUCUACAUUUCAGGUGGAAUAUUCCUCCAUACUAACUUUUUUGGUCUACAUUGAAGGAUUUUUUCUAAACCACCCUUUCGGGUCUAUAUUUGAGGUUUUAGGUGGAAUAUUCCUUUUAACCAGCCCCUCAGGUCUCUUUGAGGAUUUUGGAUGGAAUACUCGGUUAAACCAACAUUUUAGGUGCAUGUCCAAGGAUUUUUGGUGGAAUGUUCCUUUAAGGUGGAUGUUUGAGGACCUUGUAGGUGGAAUACUUCCUGAAACCAACCUUUUAGGUCAACAUUCAAAGAUUUAAGGUGGAAUAUUCCUUUAAACCAACCUAAAUUUCAUGUUUUGAUCAUUAUCAAGUGAGAAACCUCAAUCCAGACUCCUCAUAAUGACGUUUGAGAUUUAUGCUGCUGUUAUUUGUUUAGUCCAGACUAAAUGACAGAAAUCCACAACUGUAAUUUUAUUUCAGGACUCGGUUAUUAAAUGUCAAAACAAUCCAUGUGACUCUAAAAACUCAACAGCUUUACAAACUCUAAGAUUAAACUCUCCACAAGGAUCCAAAAUAAGUUGGACUUCUACAUGAGAGCUUUAAUUAUUC
RNA transcript from Amphiprion ocellaris (clown anemonefish), 4415 nucleotides. It is a transcript of the gene named SUN domain-containing protein 3-like, with no coding region annotated. The record is from RefSeq and is a predicted model, not a curated record. NCBI's taxonomy places the organism in Eukaryota, Metazoa, Chordata, Actinopteri, Pomacentridae. The transcript is spliced from 3 exons.